Molecule: ribosomal RNA, 468 nt
Filed under: uncultured bacterium
Lineage: Bacteria
Description: partial 16S ribosomal RNA
Rfam family: Bacterial small subunit ribosomal RNA
Source: RNAcentral
GACGAACGCUGGCGGCGUGCUUAACACAUGCAAGUCGAACGGAAAGGCCCUGCCUAUGUGGGGUGCUCGAGUGGCGAACGGGUGAGCAACACGUGAGUAACCUGUACCUGCCCUUGGGAUAACCUAAGGAAACUGGGGCUAUUACCGGCUAGGAGCUCUUGCUGCAUGGUGGGGGCUGGAAAGUUUCGGCGGUUGGGGAUGGACUCGCGGCCUAUCAGCUUGUUGGUGGGGUAGUGGCUUACCAAGGCUUUGACGGGUAGCCGGCCUGAGAGGGUGACCGGCCACAUUGGGACUGAGAUACGGCCCAGACUCCUACGGGAGGCAGCAGUGGGGAAUAUUGCACAAUGGGCGGAAGCCUGAUGCAGCAACGCCGCGUGCGGGAUGACGGCCUUCGGGUUGUAAACCGCUUUCGCCUGUGACGAAGCGUGAGUGACGGUAAUGGGUAAAGAAGCACCGGCUAACUACGUG